RNAcentral lists this unclassified non-coding RNA (164 nucleotides) under uncultured Chaetothyriales. Its description in RNAcentral is "sequence contains ITS2". Lineage: Eukaryota; Fungi; Ascomycota; Eurotiomycetes; Chaetothyriales. The record is from RNAcentral.
UCACAGUAUCAAGCUUGGCUUGUUGUUGGGCCCUUUGUCACCUGGUGACAGGUCCAAAAGAUAAUCACCGGUGUCAUACAGACUCUAUAUGCAACGAGCUUAUCAAAGCAUGCAUCUGGUAGUUGUGUGGCCCGGUUUCUCACUUUGACAAGUAUAUUUCUCAA